This 76-nucleotide transfer RNA is filed under the name Leucobacter sp. G161. RNAcentral describes it as "tRNA-Gly". It matches the Rfam family "tRNA". From Rfam's summary of the family: Transfer RNA (tRNA) molecules are approximately 80 nucleotides in length. Their secondary structure includes four short double-helical elements and three loops (D, anti-codon, and T loops). Lineage: Bacteria; Bacillati; Actinomycetota; Actinomycetes; Micrococcales; Microbacteriaceae. The record is from RNAcentral.
GCGGAUGUGGCGCAGCUGGUAGCGCACAACCUUGCCAAGGUUGGGGUCGCGAGUUCGAAUCUCGUCAUCCGCUCUA